This 151-nucleotide ribosomal RNA is filed under the name Ruminococcus sp. AM36-2AA. Its description in RNAcentral is "partial 23S ribosomal RNA". It matches the Rfam family "Bacterial large subunit ribosomal RNA", at positions 2775 to 2925 of the family's 2925-position model. Lineage: Bacteria; Bacillati; Bacillota; Clostridia; Eubacteriales; Oscillospiraceae. The record is from RNAcentral.
AGGCAUCUAAGCGUGAAGCCCCCCUCAAGAUGAGAUAUCCCAUUCUUAGUGAAGUAAACCCCCUUGAAGACGACGAGGUAGAUAGGGCAGAGGUGGAAGUGUGGUAACACAUGGAGCUGACUGUUACUAAUCGGGUGAGGGCUUGACCAAG